Molecule: ribosomal RNA, 499 nt
Filed under: uncultured bacterium
Lineage: Bacteria
Description: partial 16S ribosomal RNA
Rfam family: Bacterial small subunit ribosomal RNA
Source: RNAcentral
GAUGAACGCUGGCGGCGUGCCUAAUACAUGCAAGUCGAGCGAACAGACGAGAGUGCUUGCACUCUCUGCCGUUAGCGGCGGACGGGUGAGUAACACGUGGGUAACCUACCUAUAAGACUGGGAUAACUUCGGGAAACCGGAGCUAAUACCGGAUAAUAUUUAGCUUCGCAUGAAGCAAUAGUGAAAGACGGUUCUGCUGUCACUUAUAGAUGGACCCGCGGUGUAUUAGCUAGUUGGUGAGGUAACGGCUCACCAAGGCAACGAUACAUAGCCGACCUGAGAGGGUGAUCGGCCACACUGGGACUGAGACACGGCCCAGACUCCUACGGGAGGCAGCAGUAGGGAAUCUUCCGCAAUGGACGGAAGUCUGACGGAGCAAUGCCGCGUGAGUGAAGAAGGUUUUCGGAUCGUAAAACUCUGUUGUAAGGGAAGAACAAGUACGUUAGUAACUGAACGUACCUUGACGGUACCUUACCAGAAAGCCACGGCUAACUACGUG